UACAGAGGGGGCAAGCGUUGUUCGGAAUUACUGGGCGUAAAGGGCGCGUAGGCGGCCUUCUAAGUCGAACGUGAAAUCCCCGGGCUCAACCCGGGAACUGCGUCCGAUACUGGAAGGCUUGAAUCCGGGAGAGGGAUGCGGAAUUCCAGGUGUAGCGGUGAAAUGCGUAGAUAUCAAGAGGAACACCUGAGGUGAAGACGGGUUGCUGGGCUGACACUGACGCUGAGGCGCGAAAGCCAGGGGAGCAAACGGG
This 253-nucleotide ribosomal RNA is filed under the name uncultured bacterium. RNAcentral describes it as "partial 16S ribosomal RNA". It matches the Rfam family "Bacterial small subunit ribosomal RNA", at positions 524 to 776 of the family's 1533-position model. The record is from RNAcentral.